This 208-nucleotide long non-coding RNA is filed under the name Carica papaya (papaya). RNAcentral describes it as "long non-coding RNA (CPAP_LNC002037)". Lineage: Eukaryota; Viridiplantae; Streptophyta; Magnoliopsida; Brassicales; Caricaceae. The record is from RNAcentral.
ACCGAGUAAUUUUUUAUGUUUUGUUGCAAUAUGGUAUAUAAAGACGAAACGAGAAAAAUAGUAUGAAAAGAUGAAGAGUUUGUGAAAAGAGUCAUCAGCCCAAAAACAAGCCUUGGACAAAGCUUGGGUCCUGCCCUAAACAACUUAGCCUUGGGCAAUGAUAAGAGUCACGCAUGGCAGCAGAUUUAAAUUAAAAAAUGUGCUUUUC